This 595-nucleotide ribosomal RNA is filed under the name uncultured bacterium. RNAcentral describes it as "bacterial SSU rRNA". It matches the Rfam family "Bacterial small subunit ribosomal RNA", at positions 898 to 1501 of the family's 1533-position model. The record is from RNAcentral.
AACUCAAAGGAAUUGACGGGGGCCCGCACAAGCGGAGGGAACAUGUGGUUUAAUUCGAUGAUACGCGAGGAACCUUACCCGGGCUUGAAAGUUAGCGACGAUUCUUGAAAGAGGAUUUCCCUUCGGGGCGCGAAACUAGGUGCUGCAUGGUUGUCGUCAGCUCGUGCCGUGAGGUGUCGGGUUAAGUCCCAUAACGAGCGCAACCCCUACCGUUAGUUGCCAUCAGGUGAAGCUGGGCACUCUGGCGGGACUGCCGGUGUAAGCCGAGAGGAAGGUGGGGAUGACGUCAAAUCAGCACGGCCCUUACGUCCGGGGCUACACACGUGUUACAAUGGUAGGUACAGAGGGCAGCUACCCAGCGAUGGGAUGCGAAUCUCGAAAGCCUAUCUCAGUUCGGAUUGGAGGCUGAAACCCGCCUCCAUGAAGUUGGAUUCGCUAGUAAUCGCGCAUCAGCCAUGGCGCGGUGAAUACGUUCCCGGGCCUUGUACACACCGCCCGUCAAGCCAUGGGAGCCGGGGGUGCCUGAAGUUCGUGACCGCAAGGAGCGACCUAGGGCAAAACUGGUGACUGGGGCUAAGUCGUAACCAAGGUAGCC